AUUGAACGCUGGCGGCAUGCCUUACACAUGCAAGUCGAACGGUAACGCGGGGGCAACCCUGGCGACGAGUGGCGAACGGGUGAGUAAUACAUCGGAACGUACCCUGUAGUGGGGGAUAACACAUCGAAAGAUGUGCUAAUACCGCAUACGACCUGAGGGUGAAAGCGGGGGACCGUAAGGCCUCGCGCUAUAGGAGCGGCCGAUGGCGGAUUAGCUAGUUGGUGGGGUAAAGGCCCACCAAGGCGACGAUCCGUAGCUGGUCUGAGAGGACGAUCAGCCACACUGGGACUGAGGCACGGCCCAGACUCCUACGGGAGGCAGCAGUGGGGAAUUUUGGACAAUGGGGGCAACCCUGAUCCAGCAAUGCCGCUUGUGUGAAGAAGGCCUUCGGGUUGUAAAGCACUUUUGUCCGGAAAGAAAUCCUUGGGGCUAAUACCCUCGGGGGAUGACGGUACCGGAAGAAUAAGCACCGGCUAACUACGUGCCAGCCGCCGCGGUAAGAC
This 503-nucleotide ribosomal RNA is filed under the name uncultured bacterium. RNAcentral's name for it is "bacterial SSU rRNA". It matches the Rfam family "Bacterial small subunit ribosomal RNA", at positions 29 to 526 of the family's 1533-position model. The record is from RNAcentral.